CCCUGCUAACAGUGCGCUUACAGGGUUUGCACGAGCUGAAGAGGAAUAAGAGAAGUAGAAAGCAAUGUUAGGAAGCAGGCUGAGAGCUACAGGCAGGUUUCUCAGGCACUGCGACAGCACAGCUGUCAUCAAUCGGCUUCGAUGGCGGGUGUGAACGAGUUAGAACUUGCACCUGUCUCAAAGCAGUUUGAGGAGGAAUGGAUGAAACCUGCGGCUCGUUAACAGGAUGGUCAGCUGGGGGCUUUAUAAGCCCCAUUCCCAGUUGGUCAGUCAAGACCAAGGAGGAAAGCUGGGUUCUUUUGACUCUUGCUCUGUGCUCCAGCACUGCGUAGCAAAGAAAUACAGUUGCUCCAGGAUGAAGCUUUGCCUUGCAAGCCGGCUGUAUGGAGUUGCUCAGGACGGGAUUGCUCGGGGGGCCCUCAGCCCGUGGAAUUAAAAAAGAGGGGCAUCAAUACUAUGGAUAUUUCAAGUCUCCAGAGAGCUCUGCUUCGAAGGAAAGAGACAGCAGAGCGCCUGCAGCAGAACCAAAGCUUCAGCUCACUGAAUUCUCUGCUUUUUCCUCCCACUUCUACAAAACCACCCUUCAGACCACCAUUGCUCCAGCCAUGGAAGCAAUGUAGUGAAGGCCCAUGAGUCCACGUGGGAGCUCAGGCAGGGAGGAGGAGGAGGAGACCCAAGUGGCUGCUUUCUCAGUGCUGAGGAUGAUGUGCCCUGCUGCCAUGUGCCAACACCUGCACUGGGCUCCUCCGUCUCCCAUGGGGGUCUCAGCACUGUGAAUCACCACAGCCAUCCCUGCACCACAUCCUCCAGACAGAGCCACGCUGCAGCUCAGGGCAUUCCAUGAAGAAAUUGCUUUCUCAUGACUAAAUGUCAGCAUAGAGAAUGAAUGAAGAAAGACCACAAAUUUACUUAAAAUCUGCAACCGACUCCUCAGCGCAGAGGAAAGACUGGCAUCAGUGUCAUGUCCUGAAGCAGUGUCAUGUCCUGAAGCAGAUGCAGGAAGAACAAUUACUUGUGUUCACAGUAUCCUUAAGGUUGGAAAAGACCACCAGCAUCAUCUAACCCAACCGUGUAGGGGCAGUCUGCUCAGACACAUCUCUUGUCUAAGAGCUUCCAACUUACUGCAGUUUCCUUAUCCUCGUGCCUAAGGGACAGCACCAGGGACACCAAGGCACACAGUCCUUGUAGGCAUGGCUGGCUGCCAGCCACCCUUGUUCUCUGGUUAAUAGAGGAGCACAUGGAACCGUUGUAGGUAACAUGACCACUGCACAAUCCCGUCAUAGCCAGAAAUGUUUCAGCUGCAUCACUGCUAUAUAUUUUCUUUCCUGCAGCAUCUUAUUUGCCCUUGGUUGUAAGAGGACUGAGCUGAUGUUAGCAUUGUUUUCAAUUCUUCAGCAAAAAUAUUGGUGUUUUUCUUAAGAAAAAGGCAUGAGUGGACGAUGUAGUUUUGACUGAUCUGAUAAUAAGUAUAGGAGAAAGCACUCGGUGUGGUUGCAUUGCCCUUUUGUCCUGGGCUGCAGAUGGUCAGUGAAGCUGUGCUCACCCCUCCCAGGUGCUAACACUCAGCCUCUGCUGGGCAGAUGAAGCACAGCUGGGUAAUGAGCAGGUCCUGAUGGGCAGUGUUUGUUGGCCUGUGAACCUACCUUGCCUAUUUAGGGACCUGACCCAAACCUGGGAGCUCAGAAACGUGGUGCUCUCAGCUGUAGCCAUUCCUCUUCUUUAAAUUCAGUAGGCGUGCCUUUGCCACCAGCAGCAUCCUUGGAUUCCAGGCACCAUUCACAUCCUGCUGUUUGGGAAAUGGUCAUUGCCACCAGUCUGGGAAGAAUGUAUUUCUGCCCUUCUGAUAACCCACCAGAGGUCCCCUGAGGGCUGGGAUUCACGUUGCUUUCUGCCCUGAGGCUGUAAGGUAAGAGAUGCAGUGGUGUUCACUGUAAGUGAGAACCCUUUGCUUUGAAUGGGGAGAUUAACAACAAAACUCUCUGAACUUCCUUCUCCUUCGGUUAUGUUGCAGAAAAAAUUAACUUUGUUUAAGUUGGGAACUGGAGCAGUUCUUUAUGGCCACUGAUUCCUUUUUUCCUCCUCCUGGUCUCAGUAACAAGGGCCAGAGUUGUGGGCCAUGCUGGACACAGCUAUUUUCUUCCUGAUGCUAAUUGCAGCCCUUCCUGGGGAGGAGCAAGGCAGCUGAUUUUUGGAUAAACUGAAGGCAAAAAGAAUUUCUGCCUGGGCAAAGCUGAGCGGAGAACAAAGGAGUGGGAAUAGUCAGGAGUGCUGGCUGUGGGGCUCUGCAGGGUGGGGAAGGACAUGCAUAGGCCUAGGGGGAAACCAAGGAGAAACAUAAGGAGGCAGAAUGGAUUAUUUGCUAACAGACAUAGCCAGGGUGCUGCUAAAUACCCAGACCCUCACUGUUUCACCCAGGGCAGGGGUGGCAGUGGGGCUGGGCGUGCUGUAGGGUAGUUUGGGAUGGUCCCAGGUUGGUGCUGGGUGUGCUGAGAGUCUCCUGAUGCUCUGUGAGGCUGGGGAGAAGCAAGAAGGAGCACGAGCAAAUGUGUUUCCACUUAGCUGCUCUAAGGAGCCAAAUGAUGUAACUGCUCGAAGCCCCGCACUAUGUUGGCAGGAGGAGUCCAGUGACAGCUCCAACUGUAAGUUCCUGAGCUAAUGAGCAGAAAAGUUGAAUAAAACUUAAAAAAAAAAAAAAAAAAGCCUAUUUAUUUGGCUUAACAUAGCGAUCCUUCCCAGGACUGUUCCUUCAGCUGUUCCUCUGCUCAGAUCACAAAUCCAGACCCAAAAGAUGCUGGCUCCUCUCCUAUGGGUCUAAUGGGGCAGAGCCAAGGGGUCAGUGUCCGUUGGGAGCAAUGCUUCUGUGCAGCGUUGGGUGCUUUGCUUGGUGCUGAACCACAUCCCUGCUCCAGGAGAAGCGCUGUGCUAUCCUUUCCUCCAGCCCUUAUGGAGUUAACCACAACUAUUAUUAUUAAGGGUGGGUUUUUUUCUCCCUCUCUUUCUCUCUCUCUCUCUGUGUUACCAGCAAAGAAUGUUUUACUACAGCUCUCCACACAGCCACCAGCCUCCAAAUGGACCACGUUACAGUCCUGCUGCCCCCAGAAGGCACUGGGGUGCCCCAAGGCAUUGCAUCAUGCAAGGAGGAGCACCACAGCUGCCUGGGGAGCCCUCUGCAAGAGGGUCUAGACAGAGGCUGUGACCGGAGCACGGUGCUGAUGUGUGUGCUUGGGAAUGAAAUUUGGCUGGAGAGGUGUUGCUGCCUUGAGGUCAACGUGGAGGUGAAGGGCUUCAUGAUUUCCUGCAAACUAAAGAAACAGCAGUUUGGUGAUUUCCUUGGCUCUGUGUUGCUUGCCACUGGACCAGCUGGCACUGGAUGAAAGAGAGUGGCUGCACAUCUUCCUGCUCCUGGUGGUUGGGACUGUUAAAAGUCAGCCCUGUGCCACGGGUUGCCCCAGCUCUUCAGGUGAUAACCUGCUUCAGCAGCAGCUGUGCACAGAAUUUAUUGGGCUGCAGCUGGGAAUCUUUCUCUUUGAUCCAUCUCUGCUAUUAAACAGCUUGUGAUAACGCCACUGAGCUCACAUCGAGGAGGGGAAGCCGAGCAACCUCAAUAUUGGAGCUGAGCAGCAGUGGGGUGCCCAUCUUAAAGCUGCAUCACCUCACUGUCUUCAAAAGCAAAGGAGCUCCUUUUAUAGCAGCGAGCUGCUCUCCAGGAAUGAUUAAAGUCUCGUAAACGAGCACCUUCCUCAUCACAGAGCUGUCUGCUGACGGGGUGCCAAGUACAACAAGCCCAAUCCAAAGCAUCAUCCCCUCCAUGGGGCUAAUUGUUGUUGCCUUGUCUCUUGAACAAGAAGAGUGGUAAGGGAAAGCAGAGCCUGGAGACACACGCACAUCCCUGUACAGAAAUAACCCCUGAAAUAGAACUGACAAGCAAUUGAGGAGUCGGCCUGUGGGCUGCAGACAAAGCACAGAGCAAAGGAGAUAACCGGCAGUGAGCACUGGGAAAUAAUGCCCUAAAUUCCCUCUGAGCCCAUUCAUCACCGUGGCUUCGGCGAUCAUCUCAGCAACAAAUUCCCCUAUCAUCCAGCUGGAAUUCGAUGUUAAUGACCUGUCUGUUAUUUCAGGGGGAGAUGGACUGGAACCGGUGGGUAAUUGGUAGGAAAAAUCGCCGGGUACAGCAAAGAGCUGAUGCUACUGGAGUCGUUACACCACGAGAGAGGGAGAUUAGGGAGCUCUGCUUACCACAAGGGGCUUAUUCAUCCUGAAUAAAUGCAUUAGCUGCCCAGAGCUGUCCUCUUAUGCCCUUGUUCCUGUCUGGUGGCAUCUCCCCACCACAGCUUUUCCCAGCAAACAGCAGAGAUGCAGCCCAGAAGAAGCUGCUAGAAUCAUAGAACACCCAGAGCUGGAAGGGACCCAUAAGGAUCAUCGAGUCCAACUGCUGCUGUUGAGACAAUCACAGUAAGGAAUAACCUGCUCUCUCCAAGCUCACACUGAUGUAUACGUUUAUUCUGGAGUUCUCUCAGGAAAGACCAUAAUUACUCUAAUUUCUUAAUUACCGAAAUUAUUCAGAAUGACUCUGCAAACACCUCUGCCCUGUAACGUUUUGCACGAGCAGCCUCCCAGAUUGCAGCAGCGUUAGGCUUUGGGUUCCUUCCUCUGCUGGAAGGAUUUGCUGCGUUCAUUGCCAUUUCUCCUUGCCAUCACGUUAGCGGGGCAGCCUGCAGCCCUCACCAAAAAUAGGAUAACUGGAGAGCAUCAGGGGAGAGCUAGAAGCAAGUCCAGAGGUAAAGCCUUGGCUCUGUUGCAAAGGAUAGCUUUGCUGGGACUUGAUGUCUGUGCUUUUUCUCAACAGUUUCCCAUUCCCAUCUUGCUAACGGGACCAGCACCAGUCAUGUUUCGGUGAGCACACCUGCUUUAUAAAUUAGCUCCCAGGAGUAUUUGCAAAAACAGAGCUGAACUGCAUGGCCACGGGACUGGGUUUGCUGCAGAAAUACCAGCACGUAUUCAUAAUAAAGCAGCUGCACGCUUUGCCCAGCUCUGUCUGUAACUUCUCGUCAUGUCCUGUACCUUUCUGGGCAGAAAGAAUGGGUGGUAGUGGUGGGAAAAUUGCAAAAUCCUCCUUGGCUAGAUGAAGCAAUUAUUUUUGAUGCAGAUGGGGCUGCUUUUAACCCUACGUAUUCCAAACAUCUCUGUAUAACCCUAUGGGUUCUCCACCGUUGUAGGCAGUGAUGGAGAAGGAAAAAAAUGGGUGAGUAGGAUUUAACACCCAGCCAGAACUGAACUGUACAACACCCGACUGCAGAAGGGUUGGUUCUAUGCCCUUUAUGCACAGUAGGCACCGCUGCUGCCUGUCCCCAGCAUGGCACGAGUUGGGGACCAUGAGUGGUGAGGACCUCUUGUGGUGCCUCUCCCUGAGCUGCAGGCACAAAGGUUGGAUUUCUUCCCUAUGGCUGCGUGAAGAGCUGCUGACUGCUCCACCAGGAACUGAGGCAAUAAUCCCAGCUUGUUGUUCUCCUUCUCAUGGGAGACUUCUUGUGCAAAAGAAGCAUCAGUAGAAUGAAUCAAACGCUGCGGUAGUGGCCCCAUUCCCACGUGCUCUGUGUGCUCUUCCUCUCGACUCACCGGUGAGGAGGCGGUAUCAUGGGGAGGCUGUUCUGAAAAUGCUUUUAAUUGAUUUAAUUCAUAGCUGUGUUGGAGCAGGAAGGUGUUCCUUCCUUGUGCCCGGGAAUGGCAGAAUGUCCUCCAGCUGCCCCCAGAGAUGCAGCGCUGUGCCUGGGUAGCACUGUCUUGCUGCUGGCCAUCCAUGCCAAGCCUGGGAAUGAAAGCUUUGGCAACAGCCUGGACCAAGCUCUGGUAUCUUCCUUAUCGAGAAGCAUGCUGAUUACUGCAGACAAAUUGGAGAUGAACUUGCCUCUAGAGCCCAACGUGUUUGUGAAAUGAAUUGCAGUUACAUGGGGAUUUAUUAUUUCUGCAAAAGAGGCUUUCUUAUCAUGAUUUUUCCUUCCAUCUUGGACUCAUCGCUACCAGACCAGGAACCUUCAAACAGAUGUGUUUGGAGCCUUGAUGUGGGCUCACAGUGGCUGGGAAUCUUCUUGUUAUUCCUACGAAAAACAGACUCCAGCUGGAGGGGAAGAAGAGCCUCCAGCAUUAGAGAUGACCUAAACAGCACAUGUUGCAAAUGAGAUGGGAAGUGGAGAACUGCUUGAAACAUCUCUGGCCCUUUCAGCAGAACUGUUUUCCCUUUGCCUUCUCAAGGCUGAGCUGCAGACAUUGCAAGAAUGACCCCAGCAGACUGCUGCUGUUUCUGUUUUGCAUGUUCACAAGGCAGCUUCUGAAAUAAGUUUGCACACUGUUGAUCUUGCACUGGACAGCCUCACAUCAGGUGGCAGGGAAGCCCUUGCUCAUGCUGCCCUGACCCUGCUGCUCUUACUUCCCAUGCUGAUGCAUCAGUGCAUGAUGUGGCUGGAAAUGAGGUGGUGCAGGGUGGUCUCCUUGGGUUUUGCAGCUGAAAUAGGUUACUGAGCUCCUGAAGGCAUCCACCAGGAUUGCUAUGGCCUGGAACAGCCCUAGGAAAGAUGCUCUGCUUCAAGCUGGGGUUGUGCUGGUGGUGGGAGCUGGGGAUUUCAAAUCUUCCUACAGUUGGAUAUUUCAACCAAUGGCAUAAAUAAUGGAAAGCCUUCCAAAAGAAUGCCAUCCUAAGGGCUGUUCCCCUAAGAAGAAAUGCAGGUCAGGAAAUACAUUGGCCAUAUGAGUUUGUGAGUCCUUUCAAUUGUGAACAGUGCACUAAUCAAGGUUUGGCUAAUGGGUAUGCUGGGAUAUGCACACAGAUAUGCUCUUCUUUUGAGUCUUUCUCUUUACCUUUCAACCCCUGAAAUCAUCCAAGCUGCUAACACUCUGAGGAGGAUGAUGCAGCAAAAAUAAUAGGUUUAGCAAGAAGCAGAAAAAUGAGAUUAGCAUCUGUUUUUCUGGGAAAAAUAUCAACUUUUCCUGCUUAGAAAAUGAAUGGGUUGGAAACCAGCUUGUAAAACUCGAAGCCUGACUCAGGCACUGAUUUGUCACGGGGCUGUCACCUGCAGUCACUGUUAGAGAGGAGCCCUCAAUGUUCUGUCCAAAAGGAACGAUUGCUGUCUGAGUUAUUGAUGGAUUCGUAUGUGGGGAAGAGCAAAUCCUGGUCAAGCUGGAGGACUUUUGCACACAUUCAGCAGCGAGUGAGUAAAGUUAGUGGAAUACAGAACCAUCCCUGCUCGCUGCAGAGCAGCCCCCAAGGAGCACAGUGAUAAAUGAAUUGCAGAAAGCUUGGAGCUUCAACUCGGCCAGGGGAAAUAACGCUGUGUCUAUCUGAUCUCUGCAAACCUGGCUUUCCACUUAUGUGCCUGAUGAUAAAUCAGCAGUAAAUGUGCUUAGGUUGGCACGCCAAGUUUUUCCCUGGAUGCUGUUCUGUAGGCACGCACUUUCUUCACCACAAGAGUCCAGAUCUGGUGCAGAAACCACAAGCGUGGUACAGGCAGGCGGCAUCCCAUCCCAACACCGUUGCAUUGCCCUUGGCCUGCCAGCCAGAGCCAGCCCAGCACAGCCAUGAGAGAAGGAUGGCAGGCGCUCCAGGAGGACCUCUUCAAACUGCAGAGAAGGUCUGAUUUUGAAACUGGGGCAAAAGUUGAAAUAGGAUUUAAUUUUAUCUCAAUUGAUUCAUCUGUCCCUAAUUAGAAAUAGCUUCCUAAUGCAUGACGUAAGGAUACGAGGAGGGUUGUUUUUUUUUAAUGAAUGACUCUUGGCUGAGAUGAAAAUAUUGCUGUUCUCAGAUAGUUCUUUUUAUAUGCCAAUAGAGAUUUGUGCAGUCUAAGAUGAAAAAUACAUGAGAUCCUGCAGUCACACACGCUGCAGACUAAACUCUUACAGAUUAUAGAUCCUGUCUCAUUCCCAUUUUGUACAUCCCAUUUUAGUAUCUGCAUUUGCUUUUACUGAGAGAGGAGCCUCAGUCUCCCAGAAUUGCAGUGUGUGAUGCUGUGCAGGGAUGGAGCAAAAACUGAUCCUUACACCCAAGGCAGUUUCUCAUGGGAACAGUGUGAAAUUGCCCAUUUUUCUAUUUUCAGGGUGAAAGUUGUGCCUGCUUUGCCUUAUUUUCUCUUUCUGUCCUCUUCCCCGUUUCUUCUCUCCUUCCUGCCCGUGGGUCAAGGGCUGGAAGUAAAGCUGAAGUUGCGUGGCAGGAUGCAGGAGGCGGAGCAGUGCAUUGAGUUGCAUGACGCCAGGCAGCAGGAGGUGUGGGCUGCCCACUACCUGUUCCUGGACAGCAUGGCCAGGAGAUGGAGAUAAUCCCUCUCACCUCAUAGUGCACUGCUCUUCCACAUCAUUCCCCUGCUCCUACUCAUACCUCCUCAUGCCAUCCAACAUAUUUCGUCCCAAUCCUUUGCCUUCACACCCUUGAAACCCUUCCAGGCUGCUAUAGUGUCCCUUUCUCCAACUCACCUCUCCAAACCAAGCCAUACCCCCAGGCUCCAGUCCCAUCCCAUAAAUCAGUCUCUCCAAGGCCCUGACCGUAUUCUGAGAUUUCCAGGGGCUGUGCGGCUCCUCCUGGGCUCACAUCUCUUCUCCCUGCAACAAUAAAAGGCUGGAGACACGCAGCGGGGUGAGGCUCGGGUUUCUGGGCUCGUUUUAUAACUGGUGCUGGGGAUGCUUUGCGCGGAGCCCUCCAUGCGGUGAGGAAGCGGGGCAGGACAUGUCGAGCAGAUGGCAAUUCUGGACUGCAGAUGAGGGCUGAGUUAUGGCGCUCGCAGCACAUCUUUGAUACACGUCCAGCUUUUAUCAGAUGGUUCCACUCAGUGUUUGGCACAGCUGAUGUGAAGGGAAGGCCGAGGAGCAGACCUGCAGUGGGAGCAGCCCCCCAUCCCUAGGGCUGUCCCCCUCUGUGCGCUGAGCUGGGACUUCCCCUGCUUCUCCCACUCCUCCGGUACUGACACAGCUUUAUCCUGCAUACAAAACUGCUGAUAUGCUUAAAGCUCCCCUAGGCUGCACAGGCUCUUCUCCCUUUGCCACAUCAGCGCGUGUUGCAAGCAGCUGGGAGGAUGGAGAGCAUGUGAGCAUUUCUUGGAGCUAGAAGGCUCCGCUCCUCGGGUUUUGGCUUCAGAUGACCCACUCUUCUAAUACACUCUGCACUUAAUUCACUCUUGCCAGUGCAAAUGCUCUUAUUUAUGAGGUUGGUAAUCACUUUCUAUCAACACGCUCUGGAAGUCUGCUUCACCCACAGAACAUUCCUUCAAUAAAUCCUCCCCAUGAAUAUUCCCAGCCCAAGCUGAGCCCAACGCCUACUUGUGGUGUAGGAGAUGCUUUCAAAGGACUCUCACUGAGUUGGGUUGGCUUAAAGCACACCUCAAGCCUUGAUGCAAGUGGACCCAGGUAAGCUCACAAGAAGGAAACCCAAGCCUUUCCCAAACUCCUUGGAAACACUGAGUUUGGUGUCUUCUUCCUCCUUAACUUAAAAGCCAAGAAAUGUCUGUGCAGGAGAAUCAAUCACAUCACAAAGGAACCUUCUGGAUCCCAUGAAUGCCCAUUCUUUAAGCCUUAGAAUUUUACCCAUCCCCCUUUCAGGAGGGAAUGCAGAUAUGUUUUCCAUUGGAAAUAUCCCCAGGGUCUCAUGCCUCAUGCUGAGCAGCAAUCCCUGUGUCAAUUAAAAUGUGUUAUUCUGUUGAGCUCACCCUUGGGUCGAGCCAUAGGGCAGCAGAGGUCCAUGCCAGGACAGCGCCAAUGAACACAGAAUGGAGCAUCUUUAGCUCAGAGCUUUCUGCUCUGUAUCUUUCAGCUCCUUCAUGGACCAACCAGAGCCCAUAUUGAUGCCAUUUACUCAGCUGUCAAGUGGGUUUUUUAUCCUAAUGCUCCACGGUGGGGAAAUAGGAACCUGCAAUGAACUUGCUUCAAAUCGAGACAUAUUUAACUCGAAUAAACCAGCGGCCGGGCUGAAUAAACACUGCAGGCACUUCAGAAAGGAUGUUAAGUUGACAUAAGAUCUGUUGGGUGAGUUCAAGAAAUGGGAGAUUUGAUGCUGAAGUCAUAAAUCUGCUGGGUUAAAAGGGGGAUACUGCUGAGCUCUGCAUCUCAGUGAGAGACAAAGGCAGGAUGUUUGCUGUCCCAGUCUGUGGGCAGCAGGUUUCUGUCCUAUGGCAGCUGCUGAGGAGUGUGGGCUUCAUCUCCACCGCUCUCUUCAAAGCCGAGCAGGUUUUGCUGACAAAAGCUGGCACACGGACAUCAUGAAGAGCAAUGAAGAGCAGGGCUGCUGUGCCAGUGUUGCUGGUUCCAGCUGGGACAGCCCCAUGAGUUGCUGGGAGCUGAGGCAGCACUGAGCCCCUUGGCUCUCCGGAGGCACUGUGGCAGGGAAACAGCUCUCUGUGUCCUUUUCCAAAGCACAAGGAUAUGGGUGCAGCUGCAGAAACACGUAUUGCCCUCAGACUGUACUCUGCAUGGAGCACCCGCUGGUACCCCAUCUCUGAAGGCACACUUGGGAGCCUGAAACUGCAUUUGGCCCCAAUCUGAGUAGAGCAAAAUCGUGUGCAGUACUGAAGUCCCAUUUAAUUUCUUAGAGUUGUUGCAAUGCUCCUAGGGUUGGCACAACUCAGGCUGAGUGGAAAGGAAGGUAUGGAUGUGGCUACGGUUUCUGCCUCCAGCUCCAGCUCUCAGGUCUUGAGGAAGAAGGUUAUGCUUCCUCUGUCCAGUGUGAUGCAUCUGGGGCUGCUCUGAGCAGAACACGCGCCACGUCCCUGUGUGUUCGCUGCCGGAGGGACUCAGUGGGUCAAGGGGUGAGAGCUUACCCCAGCCUGAGCUGAAGGAUCGCAGAUGUUUCAUAUUUCUGCUCCAAAGAGAGGGAGAGAGAAGCUGCAGAGAAGACUGCAAUAUUUUUUUUCAAUACAUUCCAUAUGUUUCCUCCAUAAGUCAUGAUUAAAAAGUGGUGCUGGUCCAAAUAGAAAUAAGCCUGCAGGCUUUUCUGCUGCUUUUGGAGGAAGAAGCAGACUCAGUCUGAUUCACCCCUAAGGGGAGAAGGGCUCUGAGCUGACUUGAGAACACGUUUCCAUUGGACUUGUCAUCCACGCUGUCCCUGCUCCCAGCAUUGCUGUUGUCUUGGCAAGAAGCACUUCUCAGCCCUGGCUCCAGCUUCCUGGUGGAAUACACCAAAUACUUGUCCCCAGGUGCCUGACAUCAAUGCAGGGUGCACAACCCAUUGUUACGGGACCAGAACACACAGGGACUGCAAAUGACUUAUUUCCUUGCUACCAUUUCCACUCUGCUCGCUGAGGUCCAAACACUGCAGAAAAAAAUGGCAGGUUCGGAGGGAGGAGGAAAACCCAGCACCCACGAGGGGAAGGAAUUUGCUCUCUCCAAAAGGCCACGCUUGGUAUAAUUAUGCCAGCCAAACGUGCACAGAAGCCUUCAGCAAUUCCUGUGGUAAUCGUUUCAUAUGUGUGGGAUUUUUUAGGCUGGAGCAUAAUUACGGCUAAUUGCUGUUUGAUUUUGUUCCUGUUUAUAUAGCCAGUAAGGGAGUCGUUGAAAUGUCUUUACUGAAAGACUUUCUCCCUUCCUUUUCCUUCUCUUUUUCUUAAAUCAUCCUGGAAAAGAAAAGAAGGGAUCGUGUUGCAACACGGUGAGUUGUGAAUGGCCAUCAGCUGUCCAACAUCUCACAGCAAAGAGCCACGUUCAGGACUGAUGUUUUCCCAGCACUGGGAACUGAUGGUGCGCUGAUUUGCAGAACUAACGAGGACUUGCAAAGAUCUUGGCUGUUGGUUAAUGAAACCCUCCUGGGCAGGAGGCUGAGGCUGAAUUUAUCUGGGGAGAUGGGAGGAUCUGGACUGCUUCUUGCAGUCUGUUCACUAGAGCCCACGGAGAGAGAAGUGGAGCUGGUGGGGCUCAGCACAGCUCCACCACCAGGAGCUCCUCUUGGCAUGGCCAUUGCCUUUGUCAUGCCUGGUUAUCUUUUCUCAGCCCUGGUUCUUAACAUAGUUGUCCCACAGCAUGACUCAAUGGGAAUUAGGCAUCAAGUUUGCUCUGAAUGUUGGGAGUUUCCAUGUUCAGAUGGCCUGCAGUGAAGCCAGAAGCCAGAUGAUCCCUACAUCGACCCAUCCAAACAGACCUAUAUGUCUUUGAGGCUUUACUUUUCUUUUGGAAAAUUGGCUGUAUGUUUGGGUGCUUGCGCUCACGUUGCCUUUAAACGCAUCCUACCUCACUUGAAUGCAAUGUUCCUCCAGAUGGAGGAGAGUCAGCAGCUCACGGAGGCUGUGAUAUUCUCAUUCCUGAGCACUGCAUCCUUCAGAGGGGACCGAGAACACACGAAAACUCUCUUGGCUGUGGUCAGCCCUCAGCAGCUGCCCCAGCCCCGUGCCAGACACACGCUGGAUUAGAGGGUGCAGGGUGCUGUUGCUAUGGGACAAGGUGGAGGGAGCAGGCAGGUGCCACUCGUAGCCCUCUGCUAUGGAGAAUGCAGAUCUUGUUUGCUCUGCUUUUUUUUUCUUCUUCUUUUUUUCCAUUUUAAUGCUCUUUCUAUCUGGCUUCUGCCUCUGCUCCAGGAAGCCAAAUUAGCUCAUGGUCUGAGGCUCCAGCACUGAAUAUAAGCAGAAGCAAGCUGACAUCAGCUUGAAAUAGAAGCAGUAAUAGAGCUGUUUACUGUCAUGUUUCACUUUGACGAUUCAAAGGAGCAGGAAACAAUCCCAGGGCAUUGGGCACUCACACAGCCACCAAAAGCGCAUCCCUGAACCCAACUGAAUCCAUCACAAAGGCUCGGGAGCAGCAAAGUGGGGGGAGUUUUAGUGCAAGCGUGCCCAGAACACUUUAAAAUCCAUCAGAUUCUUUGCCCAAACACCAUCUCUGUGUGCUCUGAACCAACAGAGCCAGGAAUCUGGUAAACCAAGCACUUUGGCUGUGCCUGGGCUGUAGCCACACAAGUGUAAGACAUCACCUACAUCCUUCACAUGGUGUUAAUUAACAGCUAUGUAUGGGGCUGUGCUUCUCAGCCUGACCGAAAGCUGGAAGCCCAAGUCUCGAAUUCUCCCGGCCAGGAUGCAGCAUUUGCUCAGGGAAUACCAAAGAAAGAUGGAAAAGCAGCCCCACAGCUGCCUGCUUGUGCCUUGGGCAGAGCCCUUGUGGCUGCUGGUUGUCUCUGGAAGCUGCUGCCUCCCCCUGGCACUGCACUCUGCAUGGUAUGGAGUGUAUUUUUAACUAGGAAGAUAAUGAGACAGUGGCAGCUCCUCCCUGCAAUUCUGUGUUUGGAAAAUUUCAGCCACGGUGCUUGCAGGUUAAAUAGCAGGCAGAAGGAGAAUGAGCUCUUGAUUAAAAUAUGUCUAGACAGCCUUCUGUGUUUUUAAGUCCUAAUUUAGAGGACCGAGGUAGGAAGGGAUUUACAUCAUUUCCAACAUCUGACCCGUUGUUUCUGAUGGUGGUAAGACAGCUGGCACAGCCAGCCCUCACUUUUACCUGCAGUCUCAGGACAUUCAGUGACUGCAGCCACGUGUGUGGCUAUGGAAGAACUCUUCUUUUGUGACAACAGGAAAUACUCAUUUCUAAUGGUCGCAGAGCAAGUGAGACCCAUAUGAACGAUAUUAAGUUUGGCGUUCCAAGCCAUCUCAUGACUUUGAAGGCUUAGUCUAGGCCUUGGGCACGCAUAUACUCCACUGCAAUUAUCACUGGCACUUGGCUUGAUUUGGAAAUCAAGCUCCGUAAGAGUCCUGUCACUAAAAGCUGUCUCUGAGCCUGCAGUUUCCAACCACCACCAACACAGCUCUGACAAUCAGCUCCAGUGCUUUCAGCAUUUGCACCACUCAGCCACGCAUUUGGCUCCAAGGGCUCAAAGCGACGCGAGCUCACUGUCAGACGCAGUGUGAUGGAAGGGCUCUACAGCUGUUGCCCUCACAUUUGAUAGCCAGUGUUGGCUUUGUUGGGAAAAGAGGAACUGAAACUCUUCAGACUCUACCAAAAACAAGAAGCGACAUUUGGGUGUAUUUUGAAGAAAUACAGAGAAAAGAGGUAUUGGACUGUUUGGGCACCAAAUUGCUUCUGCCAAAAUGUAUAUGUCCUGUGGCAGCAGAUUGCAGUGCCACGAGGCAGGGAGCUGCUGGGCAGGGCUGUGUGCUGGACCACGGGCAGCAGGUUUCCACAGGGCUGCUUGGAAGGGCUCUGGGGAAUCAAAGCAAGGAGAAGGAAGGGAGACACCAACCGAGUAAAGACUGACUCAGAAUGAACCCCCAGAAGGGCUCUAAGUGCAACACUGCAGGACCUUCUUGACCCUUUGCAAUUGUUGCCGUGACCAGAUGCAUUGAAAAGGUGACAGGGUAAGAAAAGUGAAGACUUUGGAUUUGAAAUGAUUUGGAUUCCGUUAACUUUAGUGCCUCCUUCUCCAGAAGGACUCCAUCCUCUGAGUGUGUAAGCAGGAUCAGGGUGAGGAUGGCACUGUGCAUCUGGAAUAGCACUUCACAGUGGUUCUGUGGGGGCGGUGGGACUUGGAAACUUAAUGAGAAACACAAGCUUGCAGAAAGGGGGUGGGAAACCGGGUUAGAGAUACAGCAGGGCGGUUUGCAUUCAGAUCGCGGGAACUGAGUAAGUUUCUGAGCUAGAGAUGUUGUCAGCUCCUUAAUGACUUCUCCAUCCAUCGCCCAUUACGUUGGGUCCGAUGCACUUAAGAUGUGAGUCACUGCUCCAACCCUCACAGGGUGACAGGACCCGGGGGAGCACAUGAGAGGUGCUCAUUCUGUGGGUGGCUGCUCUGAGCUCUGUCUGUGUCAUCACAACGGGAUCAUUCUAAACCAACAGAACCCCAGUGUGUUGCUACGGGCAGGGCAGCCCAGGCCAUUAGGCAGGGCUUUAUUUUUGGAUCUGGGUCUUGCUUUCAAGCUUUCGGCAUCCUACACUUCUUUCAGCUGGGGAUGGUCCCAUUUCCAAGAGGGGAGCUCAUUUGAGAGGCAGACAAUCUUCCCAUAGCCAUUGCCACUUGGCUGUCUGCAUACUUCAGCCCAUCACUCUCCCUGCUCCCAGUGAGCAUCUCUGUCAUCUGAAAGCUCAGAAAUCAAACUUUGAACUGAAUAAAAGCCCCUCCCCCUCCAACAUUGACUGAAAUACUCUUUAAAAACAAAUCCUUAUAUAUUCUAAACUCAAAAACAUCUGGGUUUCCAAGCCCCAGGAAAUUACAGCUCCCAUUCUGGAAAUAAAAUACAUGUUUGUCCAUAGAUUGCAUUAAUUAAACCCCAUAAUAUGGAAAGAAGCCGGUAAAAUUCUUUCCUGAUGGCUGGCAGAUUUGCAUAGCAAUUUCUCAUAUUGCUCAUUGCAAUUAUUAUUCUUAUUUAAAGGGUGACGUUUUCCUCCAUGUCAGUGCAGGAUAGGAAGAUCAAGAUCUCUCUCAGUGACCAAGGGAGAAGAACUUUUGGUCCACGUGCGUGUCUUGCAGUGGGGGAUCCCAAAUGAAGCCCCAAGUCCUGCAGCUCCUGGAAAUGCCACAUCAGAAACAUUCCUGCUACUGGGAAAAACACUUUGAAGACCGGGAAAACUGCAGACUUCAGUUGUUCUUUGUGGCUUCUGCAAUUUUUUCCUGGUGAGCCUCGUGAGACAUUCCGUGGAAGGUGGCAAGCAUUGGAUGAGUAACAUUUCCCCAUAGUGCAUUAAUCAACGCCUGCUUGGCCAAGCAGCAGUCAGUGUGAGAGGAGGACGAGUUGGGCUCCCAGGCACACGGGGAACUGCUGAGACUCAGAUUGCACACAGCAGCACCACAGCGACAAAGCUGCCUUGGUUCAGCACCCAGGGGCACUGCCACAAUCCCAGCUCAGAGAUGGGAUGGGAGGUAACAAGGUAUGGUGUGCAACUCGUUGCUGGUUCCAUGAGAGCUUCUCCAUGGCGCUCACACAGGGACAUAAAAUGUGAGGGGUGGCCUCUGUCCUCCUGGCACCGUGGUUCCCUGAGUGCAGCUCCCUUCCUUGAGCAGGAUCAGAGCAGGGCUUCGGAGGAUCCUACGCAGAGAGCAUCCUCCAAGGACGUGUUUUCAAAGGCUCUCCAUCUCCCAAAGGCUGAAUAAUCUCAAGAAAGGGCCCAGGAAGAAGUGAAAUCCUCUCCAGAACGGUCAUUUGCAAGAGUGUGUUUCCAUAACCUUGCAUUGUUACAGCAUCACAAGGAUUUGUCUCCUCUUCUGGCUCCAGCACACAUGUUCCUGGCUCCCAUGGAGGCACUGUGGACAGCCCAUGCCAUACAACGUGCCAGAAACAUGACCUCCCCAUGAACUUUGGGCCAUAUUUUCAAGUCUGCGCCCAGCUCCUUGCAGGCAGGGCUGUCUGGCCAGUGCAUUCUGGCCCUUUUGCAUGGAAAAUGAGCUGUGUCAGCCUUCGUGGCCCACUGGCUUGCCAGCUGCGUCCCUAACAGCACUUUGCAGCCUCCUCCCUCCGUGCUCAACAUGUUGCCUUCACCUGGCACAUGGGACAGCAACGAGGGGACUGUGAGCUUGUCCUCGGUGGCUGGGGCCCAGCUGGCCACCCCCAUCUCCCCACUGCAGCCACCGCACGCUCCUCGAUGCAGCAGAACUCAAUGUACAGCCCUUUUAUUUUUCCUCCUUGGUUUUCCUGUUUCCAGAACAGUUGAAUAUUUUACUUGCAUCGUGCCCCAGUUCCCCAGUUUCCAGCAGGCAGAACAGGGCGAUCUGUACCCACCUCUUGCAGCAGCUGGUGCUUGUUCCCCUGGCAAAACUUCACUUUGGAGCUGAACCCAACAAUGCUGCUGACUCCAACUGAUUCUUUCUCCCCCAGCCUAAGGCACUUUAUGAUGAUAUUAAUAACCAGACACUGAGGUUCAGCACUAAGGAUUUCUUAAGCUUGCUGCUGGGGCUGUGAUUGAGCUUUGUAGCCAUCUCUGCUUCAUCCCAUGAUCCAUCAGGGUUGGUGGGGACACCCAGACCUCUUUUGGGAAGUCCCUCCACAGCUCCUCUCUCCCAUAGCACCCAUGGGGUCAGGGGCAGACUGGGUGCUCCCAGACCUCUUUCCUGUUCUGCCCUUAAUACACCAAAGGGAGAUCUCUUGUUCGAUGGUUCUCUAUUAACCCUAUUCAUGAGUCUUUUAAUUAGUGUUGCCUUCUGCUAAGUAAUCGCUUCAGCAUUAGCUCCUCUGGGGCAAUGCAGAGCUGCAACAGGGCACUGCAGGAGUUGCAUGCUGCUGUUCUGCCUUCUGGACCUGCUCCUGCUGGCAACUAUGCCAUUCCUUUUGCACAGACCGCACAGUGCCAGAGCAGCCCACUAAAACUUGCAAAGAAAAGCAGAAAGAAGCAUCUGAAACCCCACCAGGAGCUGCGGCAGGUAGAGUUCUACCCUUACAUCUGGGAAACCUCCAGCUCAGCUCAAUCCUGCUGAUGCACUGCUAAGGGGAGCUUUGUAGUGGCCCUAUUCAAAGCACUCAGCUCUGGGGGCAUGUUUCCCCCAGCACCCAGGAGCAAUGUUUCCUUUGUCAAUUCAGGGUCCCCACCAAUCUGCAUCACCCCAUGCCUGGAGGCAGAGCUGCCAUGGCUGCCUUUUAUCCCCUGCAUCCUCCGGCAGAGCUCACAAAGUGGUACUUUGUACCAGAGCAAGAAACAAGAGACGUGAGCUGUAAUACAGGAGAGAGAGAAAAAAAAACCCUCAUCUCACCCCUUGUGUUUUUCCUGGAAAUGUCACUGCCCUUAAUGCAUCAAAUAAUUAGAAUCACUUCUCCCCUUUUGUUUGCCUUGGCCCUCACUGCUCGCAUUGAGUGGGCCAACAUAAACCUGUGCGCACCACAGGAAUUUUGGGCACAGCCCAUUCUGCAGUGCUGGGUGCAGGGGGAGAAGUGGCUGCAGGAGCUUUGGUUCUGCUCCAUAUGUCUCUGCUGCUGUGGGCACUGCUGGGCACGGAGCUCCCAUAGAGAGGACCUCACUGCAACGCUAGCGCUCAACCAAGUGCUGGUCCCUAUGGAAAUCCACUGUCCUGGAGAGAAGCAGCAGCAGCUGAUGCCCAUUUAAUGCCAAAAUUGCAGAUUUGUGUUUGACCUGAGUGGUGGGUGUGAGCGUGAUGCUGGCAGGACAGAUGGGUGGAUAGCUCUCUGAAGUCCCAGUGGGAUGUUACGCUUGUUGCUCUGUAGUUGUAGCCUUCUCCUCUGGGUGCUGGGGAGUGCUCCGAGGUGACGUGGGAGAACAUAUCCCUUGUGAAUGCUGGAAAGCUGUGCUGGGUGAGGUGGCAUUGCACCACUAAUCCACGCACAGAGGAGCCCAGCACCCCCUCAGCACCCCUUACAGACACAGAUGGACACAGCCAGCAUCACAGCCCAGCUGGCUGCCUGCCCCCAGUACCGCUCCCAUGGGCUGCAUGUAUGUCAAUGGGUUAUUAAAGAAACGGAUGGGGGAUUAGCUGUGCUGUAGGUAGAGACCCCAUUCAGAUUUGCUAAGUUUCAGCAAGUAUGUUUUCAAUAAUUGGCUGGUAUUUGUAAGAAAUGAAUAAAACCUAGGCUACUAAAGCUGGUCCUUCUCUUAUUAUAAGGCAUUUAUUGCAUGCUUAGAAGCAUAUGUCUUCAAUAUCUGAAGCAAAGGAAAGUAAUAUAUAAGGAUCCCUUCUUAAACACAAAUAUAUGCAGCCAUAAUCACAAUUAUUAGCCACCAUGAAAUAGCUAACAAACUGAAGAAGCCCCCUCAGCAGCAGCUUUACAACUGGGGGUGCAUAAGAAAUAAAGACAAAGGAGAGAAUUGCCCUCUUAGCUGUGCGAGACUCCACAAGGCAGAGGAAGGAUCAGCUCUGCUGAGGAGUGUUGGCAUCUCGGAGAAGGUUCACGGAUGAAGCCAAUGGAGAAGGGUGUGCAGGAGCGGGGCAGGGAAUUGGGAAGCAGCGCUGCUGCUGGUGGUUGUAUCCUUCUGAAGAAAGAACACUGGAAAACUAAAGCUACCUGUCACUGCUGCUGUUAUCACAGAGGUAUUUGGGAGAGGGUGAGCGAAUGUUUCUGCAGGACUGCGUGCUGAUUUAUUGGUACGGAGGGAGGUGCAGCGGGGAAACCACUGUGCGGAUCGUUGGCGAGGAGGGGCACGUGGUUCUCCAAAGAUUUUUGUCUGAAAACGCAAUCAGCUGAAGUCAGCGCCGCGCCGAGGGUCUGAGCAGAGCUCAGUGCUGCUCAAGGAGGCACUUUCAUGUAAGAGGGAAGAAAUGGGCCCUGGCUCUGUGUAUAUCCCUGUUGGUCUUCUGAACACUUCGCGUUGCGUCUUCCUCCUCACUGCACCGCCCUGAAGCACAUACAGAAAAUGAUUGCUGAAAACGGGGUGUCCGCGAGUCACAAUGAGUGCAAUUAAACCAUGGAACGGAUUCCCCAGGGAUCUCACGCAUCCUUGGCUGCUUGGAGGAGCCUCAGGGCGGGCUGCAGCAGCUCCUUCCCUUUGGUGGAGCAGCGCUGUUCCUCCUGGGAUUUGCUCCAAAUGGACAGCUCUGCUCUGCUCCAGCUGCUCGGUGGGUUUCUCUCCAGCACGUUGCUGGUUUGCACAUCGUUUCAAGCCUGCAGCUGUUAUCGGGCUGUUGGUUUGAGCGUUGUUCACUUCCAAUCCCUGCCUCAUUGCAGGGGGAGACCAUCCCUGGAGAUCCUCCCCUCUCCCAUCUCCAGGGCACCGAUCCUCAGCCACUCUGAGCGCAAUGCAGACACCACACAGCUCAGCAGGUUUCAGUGCCUCUGCCACCAACUGCGACUCAAAUCCAAAGCGAUUUGGCUUUGUUUUGUUUCUAAGUUGCUGCUCGAGCUUUCUUGGCUCACAGGCAGAUUUUCUCUUCCAAGGUUUCAGUGGUGGAGGGCUGUUUCUCUAAUCCCCAAUAGUUUGAGAUUAUCUCCAGCCAACAAUUAAUCAGAAUCAGAAUUUUGCACUGCUUGCCUGUGCUGCUGCAUUGAGUGCAUGUAAAACCCUCUUUCCUCUGAAGAAAAGCAUGUUCUACUUUCCUAUGUUGCCUCCGGUCUCUUUAGCUGUCAGGGCACUCGGCAUCACACCAGGAUGCUGAAUAGGCCAAGGGAUGCCUUAAACAUACCACUCAAACAGGCAGAAAGCGGAUUCAGGAAGGCUCAACACGAGCUGAAAGCUCACUGUUUAGGAAGCAUCUCUGCUGGGGUGAGGGUUGGCUCUUAUGGGUUUGUGUUGUGGACUCAGCACUUGGGCAGCUUUGUUUUGGUGCAUGGAAUGCUCAGAGGCGUUCUCUGAGCGUGUGUUUGGGUAAUAGCCAAAAAUGAACCCAGUUAGCUAAUGGAAAUGCAUCCUUCCUCCUGUGCUGGGACUGCGUUGCACUGAGUGCGUUGGAAACAGCACCAGAAGUGAUGUCUGACUGCUGCAGAUCCCAAACCCUCAGUCAGGCACUGCUCUGUGGAUGAGCAAGAUGGGCACAGCUGGAUCUGCUCCUCAAGGAUCCGCUGCAGGUGUGUGACUGGGGAAUUUUUCCCAACCACUCAACCUUCUGACAGGGCUUCCAUCAGCUGGAGCUGCCUCUCCCUUCCAGCAUCUCUUCAGGCUGAAAAGAAAUCAUAUUUCCUGAAGCAACACCAAACAGGGAAGUGGUGCUGCUUUGUCACGUCCAAUUUCAAGUAGCUCUUCUCCUUAAGCUGCUCACAAACAAGCGAGGAGGAUGUAACACACAGCUUCUUUCAGACACGAUUCUCUCCUGCUGAGCCCUGAUCUCUUGCUGUCUGCAGCUCUGUGCUCUAUAGAUGGCACACGAUGCCAGCUCUGCCUGGCAGCCACAAGCUGAUGGGAUUUGUAUUUGUCCCAUCACCCCAUGAGCUGUCACAGGGGUGGAUCCCACUCCCUCCUGGCACUUGCUGUCUGCUGAGGACUCCCGUGUUAUCACUGCUGUCAACUUCCAAGCUGCGUUUUAUAUGGGAAGGAAAGCUGCCAGGCUGCUCUGCGAGCCAGUAGGUAUUCUUGGAGACAAAACAUUCAGUCUGGACCCGGCGCUGGUGGUUAAGCUUUAUUUGGUUCUCAUUUCCUUGAGAACUGGAUGCUCCUCUCCAUCUGUCAGCUCACAAAGCUGGGUCAGGCCGGCUGCAUCCUCUGCUCCAAAGCAAGGACCCCAAAAGGGAUCAGCUCCCCUUGACAUCAACGGGUUCUGGAUUGGGCCCCGGGCAAAGGCUCUCAAGAACGUGCUGCAGUUUGGGAAGCGGAGAAGCUGCGGUUUAACAUGGGAAUAGUUGGAGCAAGAAAAAUGUUAUUACCAAAACUCAGCUUAAACCAAGAGUACCGCGAGGUCAAACGCUGCAGCCAGUCAGAAACACAGUGUUCUUGAGGAUUGUUAUACUGGAGUUACAGGAGACAAGGUGCUUUCGUGGUAAAUGGAAAACGCAGCUCGGCAGAGAGGAGGAAGCUGCAGCAAAUGCACUGCUGAUGUUAAGCUGCUGCCUCCCUGGGGCCAAGCAGCAGUGCAUGACUGGGAACGUCCCAUCCCUGGGUCAGCAGCUGGACACCUCCAAGGCAGGGACCCCCCAGCCCCUCUUAAAGCUCUCUUGAAUGAUCCCAUGCUGCAGAGAGUACUACUCUGUACAAACAUGUAUACAAAUGUAAGUACAUCCAUAUACUUGGCUGAGAUGUAUAAACUCUGCAAUGGACUUUGGAUGUAAGUGUGGUCUUUGCUGCUGGCUCACCGGAGAGGGUUCUCAGUUAAUCACGGCUCAGUGGUUGGGCUGGGUGAUCUUAUCCAAUCUUAAUGAAUCUAUGAUCCUAUGGAAAUAAAUUGUACCCAGCUUGUCCCUGCUGCUGUCCCCUCCAAAGGUGCCAGGUUGCUCCGUCACAGGCAACACCGGGAUGAGUCCCUGGGAUCGUACCAGCACUCGUAUUCGGUGUCAAGGAAGACAAUAUGGAAACUGUGCCAAAAGAGGCCUGAUCUAUCACAAAUGCCAUCUCAUCAUUUUCAGCUGCUUUGAACUUCCCAGUGACUUUUAUUUGUGCCUCCCUUUUCUUUCUGUGCCAGAACAGACUCACAUCUUGAAAAGCUCUUCUCCCCACGUAGCUGUUAUCCUGCAGCCCUUCCCAAAUCCCCCCAGCUGUGCCUCCUCUGCUCUGCCUUGCUGGGAUAAGCAAGGGAGGUUCUUUGUCUGCAGGUGAGUUGUCUGCUGGUCUUUUUUAGGGGAAAUUGGAGGGCUCCUUGCAGACACAGAGGGCCACAAAUGGGUGGACAGGGAGCUGCUAAACAAAGAGCUGGUGUGAAUUAGAAGAGAGAUAAAGAGCAAUGGACUUGAUAAGGAGUUGGACUUGAUGAUCCUUGUGUGUUCUUCCAACUUGGGAUAUUGUAUGAUUUUAUGAAAAGAACCAUUGGCCCACAUUGCAGCCAAACAGCCCAGGCAUGGAGCAGAAAACAGCUUGACAAAGGUCAUGCAAGGAGCAUCAGAACAAGUUUCAGAUGUAGUCCUUUAACCAGAUGGCUGCUGUCUUGUGAGCAGUGCUGCAGCACGAGCCGUCAUUGCUCCUGGGCCACGUUCUGUUCCCAAAGAAAGUGUAGGGUGGGUGGACAACCCUGUGGGUGACCUGGAGCUCUCCAGGUGGGAGGGCUGAGCUCCAGCAGCAUGGAUCCAAUAUGGAGCUCCUUUGGACGUGGGGACAGUGAGGAAGGCAGAGCAGACCAGAGGUGCCAGGGUGGCUCUGAAACCUUCUCCGAGGACAUGCUCCACCUUCACAUCUCACCUACGUCAGAAUGACCUCAUGUUCAUAACAGCAGGAAUUUCCAGCUGGCGCAGCCAAGCCCUUUGCUGCUAAAUUAAAAUUUCUACCUCUCUCCAGAGAGUUAUUUCCCCUCCAUUCUUUUUAUUAAUAAAUUAAUAAUAAAGCAGUUUGCUGGAG
RNAcentral lists this long non-coding RNA (22785 nucleotides) under Gallus gallus (chicken). RNAcentral's name for it is "lncRNA (ENSGALG00010029111.1)". The record is from RNAcentral. Lineage: Eukaryota; Metazoa; Chordata; Aves; Galliformes; Phasianidae.